This 1315-nucleotide ribosomal RNA is filed under the name Rhombodera sp. FY-2017. Its description in RNAcentral is "16S ribosomal RNA". The stretch from base 1067 to 1225 matches the Rfam family "Archaeal large subunit ribosomal RNA", at positions 2542 to 2701 of the family's 2987-position model. Lineage: Eukaryota; Metazoa; Arthropoda; Insecta; Mantodea; Mantidae. The record is from RNAcentral.
AAUUAAUAAAAUUGUUUUGUUAAAUUUUUGUUGAAUUAUUAUUAAUUAAGCAAAUAUAAGUUGAUGUAGAAUAAAUUGAUUGAAUUAUUUUUACUAUAGUAAAUUAGUACUGUGAAGGAAAUUUUAAUUAUUUAUUAUGAUUAAUAAAAGGUAAUUUAAUUUAUUGUAUCUUGUGUAUCAGAGUAUAUUUAAAUAGAAUUAUAAAUUUUUUCUUCUCGAAUUUGAAAGAUUUAAUUAAAAAUAUUAGUUAUUGUUUCAUAAAUAUUAAUAAUUUUUAAUUGGUAAUGAAAUGUUAUUCGUUUUUAAGGAUAUCUAGUUUUUUAAUAAAUGAAUUUAAUUCAGAAAAUAUAAUUUAUUGAAUAUUUUAUUAUUUAAAUAUUUUAUAUUUUUAAUUUUAAGGGGGAUAAACUCUUUAAAAUGUUAUUAUAAUAUUGUAAAGUGAUUAGGAUUUUAUAAAUUUAGAAUUUGUUAAUAGUUAAAGGAUGUUAAAAUUUAAUUCUUUAUUUUUAUUAAUUUUUAAUUGUUAUUUAAUUUUUAUAUUAAAAUAUUAAAUUUAAUUUGGAAAUUUCGGAAAGUAUGAUUUAAUUAGUAAAGUUUAAAGAUUAUUUUGUUCAUUUGGUUGAAUUGUUAAUAUAAAGAAUUAGGCAAAAAUUUUGCUCGCCUGUUUAUUAAAAACAUGGUUUCUUGUAAUUAUGUAAGAAAUCUAACCUGCCCACUGAAUAAGUUUUGAAGGGCCGCAGUAUUUUGACUGUGCAAAGGUAGCAUAAUCAUUAGUCUUUUAAUUGAAGGCUGGUAUGAAUGGUUGGAUGAGGUGAAUUCUGUUUUAUGUUAAUUUGAAUUGAAUUUAGAUUUUAAGUAAAAAGACUUAAAUAGAAUUAAGGGACGAGAAGACCCUAUAGAGUUUAAUAAAUGUAUUAAUUAAUUGAGUUAUAAAAAUAAUUUUUGAUUAUUAUAAAAUUUAUUUAGUUGGGGUGAUUGGAAGAUAAAAUUAACUCUUCUUUAUAUUUAAUAUUAUAAUUAGUUAUGUGAUCCAUAUUUAAUGAUUAAAAGAUUAAAUUACCUUAGGGAUAACAGCAUAAUUCUUUUUGAGAGUUCAUAUCGAAAAAAGAGAUUGUGACCUCGAUGUUGGAUUAAGAUUAGUUUUGGGUGCAGAUGUUCAAUAACUAGGUCUGUUCGACCUUGAAAUUCUUACAUGAUCUGAGUUUAAACCGGCGUGAGCCAGGUUGGUUUCUAUCUUUAAUUGAUUUAAAUAUUUUAGUACGAGAGGACCAAAUAUUUAAAAUAAUUUUUAUUUUUAAGGAAUUUUAUUAAUUGA